This 495-nucleotide ribosomal RNA is filed under the name Triticum aestivum (bread wheat). RNAcentral describes it as "partial small subunit ribosomal RNA". Lineage: Eukaryota; Viridiplantae; Streptophyta; Magnoliopsida; Poales; Poaceae. The record is from RNAcentral.
AUGGUUUUAUUUACAGAAAAUGCCUUGGGGACGGAAACCUAUUGUAAGUCCUCCCUCCCAUCUCUCCAGUUUUGUAGGAAGGGAUGUGUGGUUGCAUGUCUCAGUGUGCAAACUUCUCUUCUUUUCAGGCAAACCAAAAUUCACAACAUUGGUGCAACCCUUGUAGGAGUUGACACUUUUGGAAACAAGUACUAUGAGAAACUACAUGACACUCAGUAUGGAAGGCAUAGGUGGGUAGAGUAUGCGGACAAGGGUCGCUACAAUGCAUCCCAAGUGCCUGCUGAAUGGCAUGGAUGGCUGCACCACAUUACAGACAGCACUGGGGACAAGCUGCUGGAGGAGAAGACUAAAAAGUUCAUUAGGGAGCACAGACAGAACUACACCGGACAGGGUGACGACUUGAUCUACCACUCCAAGGGGCAUGCUCUGAACCCAGGGCAAAGGGACUGGACAAGGUACCAGCCUUGGGAACCAAAGAAAGAAGAGGCCUCCUGA